RNAcentral lists this ribosomal RNA (373 nucleotides) under uncultured bacterium. RNAcentral describes it as "bacterial SSU rRNA". It matches the Rfam family "Bacterial small subunit ribosomal RNA", at positions 525 to 896 of the family's 1533-position model. The record is from RNAcentral.
ACGUAGGUGGCAAGCGUUGUCCGGAUUUACUGGGCGUAAAGGAUGCGUAGGUGGAUAUUUAAGUCAGAUGUGAAAUACCCGAGCUUAACUUGGGUGCUGCAUUUGAAACUGGAUAUCUAGAGUGCAGGAGAGGUAAGUGGAAUUCCUAGUGUAGCGGUGAAAUGCGUAGAGAUUAGGAAGAACACCAGUGGCGAAGGCGACUUACUGGACUGUAACUGACACUGAGGCAUGAAAGCGUGGGGAGCAAACAGGAUUAGAUACCCUGGUAGUCCACGCCGUAAACGAUGAGUACUAGGUGUAGGGGGUAUCGACUCCCUCUGUGCCGCAGUUAACACAAUAAGUACUCCGCCUGGGAAGUACGGUCGCAAGAUUA